This 497-nucleotide ribosomal RNA is filed under the name uncultured bacterium. Its description in RNAcentral is "partial 16S ribosomal RNA". It matches the Rfam family "Bacterial small subunit ribosomal RNA", at positions 28 to 507 of the family's 1533-position model. The record is from RNAcentral.
GAUGAACGCUGGCGGCGUGCCUAAUACAUGCAAGUCGAGCGAACGGACGAGAAGCUUGCUUCUCUGAUGUUAGCGGCGGACGGGUGAGUAACACGUGGAUAACCUACCUAUAAGACUGGGAUAACUUCGGGAAACCGGAUCUAAUACCGGAUAAUAUUUUGAACCGCAUGGUUCAAAAGUGAAAGACGGUCUUGCUGUCACUUAUAGAUGGAUCCGCGCUACAUUAGCUAGUUGGUAAGGUAACGGCUUGCCAAGGCAACGAUGCAUAGCCGACCUGAGAGGGUGAGCGGCCACCGUGGAACGGGGACCUGCACAGGCCUCCUCGGGGAGGACGCCGGGGGGAUCUUCCGAGAAGGGGGGAACACCUGACGGAAAAACGCCGUGUGGGUGACAAAGGCUUUGGUCCCGAAACUCUUUUUUAUGGGGGAAAAACAUAGGGUCACUUCCCUGUGCACCUCUGCAGGGUCCUUAAUCAGAAGGCAACGCCUACCUACGUG